GACGAACGCUGGCGGCGUGCUUAACACAUGCAAGUCGAACGGAAAGGCCCUGCUUUUGUGGGGUGCUCGAGUGGCGAACGGGUGAGUAACACGUGGGUAACCUGCCCUUGACUUUGGGAUAACUUCAGGAAACUGGGGCUAAUACCGGAUAGGAGCUCCUGCUGCAUGGUGGGGGUUGGAAAGUUUCGGCGGUUGGGGAUGGACUCGCGGCUUAUCAGCUUGUUGGUGGGGUAGUGGCUUACCAAGGCUGUGACGGAUAGCCGGCCUGAGAGGGUGACCGGCCACAUUGGGACUGAGAGACGGCCCAGAGUCGUAUGGGAGGCAGCAGUGGGGAAUAUUGCACAGUGGGCGGAAGCCGGAUGCAGAAACGCCGCGUGUGGGAUGACGGCCUUCGGGUUGUAAAACGCUUUAGCCUGUGACGAAGCGGGAGUGACGGUAAUGGGUAAAGAAGCACCGGCUAACUACGUG
Molecule: ribosomal RNA, 468 nt
Filed under: uncultured bacterium
Lineage: Bacteria
Description: partial 16S ribosomal RNA
Rfam family: Bacterial small subunit ribosomal RNA
Source: RNAcentral